AGAGUUUGAUCCUGGCUCAGAUUGAACGCUGGCGGCAUGCCUUACACAUGCAAGUCGAGCGGCAGCGCGGGGGCAACCCUGGCGGCGAGCGGCGGACGGGUGAGUAAUACAUCGGAACGUGUCCUUUCGUGGGGGAUAACCAGUCGAAAGACUGGCUAAUACCGCAUGAGAUCUCACGAUGAAAGCGGGGGACCGCAAGGCCUCGCGCGAUUGGAGCGGCCGAUGUCGGAUUAGCUAGUUGGCGGGGUAAAAGCCCACCAAGGCUACGAUCCGUAGCUGGUUUGAGAGAACGACCAGCCACACUGGGACUGAGACACGGCCCAGACUCCUACGGGAGGCAGCAGUGGGGAAUUCUGGACAAUGGGCGCAAGCCUGAUCCAGCCAUGCCGCGUGUGUGAAGAAGGCCUUCGGGUUGUAAAGCACUUUCGGCCGGAACGAAAUCGCGCGGGCUAUUACCCCGCGUGGAUGACGGUACCGGAAGAAGAAGCACCGGCUAACUACGUGCCAGCAGCCGCGGUAAUACGUAGGGUGCGAGCGUUAAUCGGAAUUACUGGGCGUAAAGGGUGCGCAGGCGGUUCUGCAAGUCAGGCGUGAAAUCCCCGGGCUUAACCUGGGAAUGGCGCUUGAAACUACGGGACUGGAGUAUGGCAGAGGGAGGUGGAAUUCCACGUAGCGGUGAAAUGCGUAGAGAUGUGGAGGAACACCGAUGGCGAAGGCAGCCUCCUGGGCCAAUACUGACGCUCAUGCACGAAAGCGUGGGGAGCAAACAGGAUUAGAUACCCUAGUAGUCC
This 791-nucleotide ribosomal RNA is filed under the name uncultured bacterium. RNAcentral's name for it is "bacterial SSU rRNA". It matches the Rfam family "Bacterial small subunit ribosomal RNA", at positions 8 to 796 of the family's 1533-position model. The record is from RNAcentral.